Molecule: ribosomal RNA, 319 nt
Filed under: uncultured soil bacterium
Lineage: Bacteria
Description: bacterial SSU rRNA
Rfam family: Bacterial small subunit ribosomal RNA
Source: RNAcentral
AGAGUGAACGCUGGCGGUAGGCCUAACACAUGCAAGUCGAACGGCAGCACAGGAGAGCUUGCUCUCUGGGUGGCGAGUGGCGGACGGGUGAGGAAUACAUCGGAAUCUACCUUUUCGUGGGGGAUAACGUAGGGAACUUACGCUAAUACCGCAUAAGACCUUCGGGUGAAAGCCGGGGACCUUCGGGCCUGGCGCGGAUAGAUGAGCCGAUGUCGGAUUAGCUUGUUGGCGGGGUAAAAGCCCAACCGAAGGCGACGACUCCCGUAGCCUGGUCUGGAGAGGAUGAUCAGCCACACGUGAACUGAGACACGGUCCAGAC